RNAcentral lists this unclassified non-coding RNA (410 nucleotides) under Hevea brasiliensis (rubber tree). Lineage: Eukaryota; Viridiplantae; Streptophyta; Magnoliopsida; Malpighiales; Euphorbiaceae. The record is from RNAcentral.
AGUUUUUACUACUAAUUAUUUUAACAUAAUUAAAAAAAAAUUCAGUCUAACAUAAUUUAAUCAAAUAACCGAAUACAUAUUACAAACUGAAUACACAUUACCCAUUACUCACAUGACAAAUUUAAAUUCUCGUUCUUAGUAAAAAAAAAUAAUAAAAUUUAAGGAAAAAAAAUAACAAUAAUAAAAUUUAAUGAGCAAUAACAUAUCUUCUUUUGAGAUUAGAUUGGUUUUAUUAAAACCAGUCCGCUCCGUCUUAGAUUGAUUCAAAUAGACAGAGAACUUUUACCACAAGAAACCGUCUGAGCUGUAUUUAUUUAAAUUUUCUAAAGAAUAAAUUAAACUAUUAUAAUAUAUACCCAAAAAAAUUAAAUUUUUUGGUUCUUAGGGUUCUCAUGAUACAAACCAAAAAA